Non-coding RNA from Bombyx mori (domestic silkworm), 130 nucleotides. NCBI's taxonomy places the organism in Eukaryota, Metazoa, Arthropoda, Insecta, Lepidoptera, Bombycidae. The record is from RefSeq and is marked provisional.
GUAAAGGAAUCGUUACGUUUUGUUUGUCGCUAAAUGAGUACGUUUUAUGAUCUAUAUCUUACUGGAUGGAUGUUGGCCGUGAAUUAUAUUCAGCUGCAGUAGAGAUAUUCGAUAAUGUUUUGUUUUUACG